RNAcentral lists this transfer RNA (88 nucleotides) under Haplomitrium blumei. Its description in RNAcentral is "tRNA-Ser". It matches the Rfam family "tRNA". Rfam says of the family: Transfer RNA (tRNA) molecules are approximately 80 nucleotides in length. Their secondary structure includes four short double-helical elements and three loops (D, anti-codon, and T loops). Lineage: Eukaryota; Viridiplantae; Streptophyta; Haplomitriopsida; Calobryales; Haplomitriaceae. The record is from RNAcentral.
GGAGAGAUGGCCGAGUGGUUUAUGGCUCCGGUCUUGAAAACCGGUAUAAUUACCCUGAUUAUCGAGGGUUCGAAUCCCUCUCUCUCCU